Molecule: small nuclear RNA, 104 nt
Organism: Capra hircus (goat)
Lineage: Eukaryota; Metazoa; Chordata; Mammalia; Artiodactyla; Bovidae
Source: Ensembl
GUGCUCGCUCCGGCAGCACAUAUACUAAAACUGGACCGAUACAGAGAUUAGCAUGGCCCCUGCGCGAGGAUGACAGGCAAAUUUGUGAAGCAUUCCAUAUUUUU